RNAcentral lists this ribosomal RNA (414 nucleotides) under uncultured microorganism. Its description in RNAcentral is "bacterial SSU rRNA". It matches the Rfam family "Archaeal small subunit ribosomal RNA", at positions 459 to 872 of the family's 1478-position model. The record is from RNAcentral.
CAGCCGCCGCGGUAAUACCGGCGGCCCGAGUGGCGGCUAAUAUUAUUGGGCCUAAAGCGUCCGUAGCCGGGCUGGGAAGUCCUCCGGGAAAUCUGGUCGCUUAACGAUCCGACUUCCGGAGGGUACUGCUGGCCUAGGGACCGGGAGAGGCCGAGGGGAUUCCCGGGGUGGGGGUGAAAUCCUGUAAUCCCGGGAGGACCACCUGUGGCGAAGGCGCUCGGCUGGAACGGGUCCGACGGUGAGGGACGAAGGCCAGGGGAGCGAACCGGAUUAGAUACCCGGGUAGUCCUGGCUGUAAACGAUGCGGACUAGGUGUCGGGCAAGCUAAGGGCUUGUCCGGUGCCGCAGUGAAGCCGUUAAGUCCGCCGCCUGGGGAGUACGGCCGCAAGGCUGAAACUUAAAGGAAUUGGCGGG